This 564-nucleotide long non-coding RNA is filed under the name Medicago truncatula (barrel medic). RNAcentral describes it as "long non-coding RNA (MTRU_LNC003554)". Lineage: Eukaryota; Viridiplantae; Streptophyta; Magnoliopsida; Fabales; Fabaceae. The record is from RNAcentral.
UAAUAACCUUUAAAUACAAGAAAUUCAUAAUCAGAAAUAAACAAAAGAAAAAAUGCCUAUAAAUUUGUAACGGACAAACAUAAAUCUAUAACCUCCCAUAAUUCCUAUAGUUAAAAUCAUAACAGUCAUAACCAUAGGAAUACUACAAUAAACUCCAAUAAUAGGUUCUGAUCCAUAUUCUCAGCAGAUACACAAAUGACUUCAAAUAUUGUACAACGGAAUUGAACGAUAAACUGAUAUAAUCCACCUAGAAAAAAAUCGAUUAAAAUGUAAUGCCAAAAAAAAUAAAAAUAAUGUGAUAGAGUAAGAAACGAAAGAUGAAUACAUGGUUGCUGCGAAGAUCAUGGUUGAAAAUUUCUUGAAGAGACCAAGAAAAAAUAGUGUUGAUGAAGUUAUGAUUCUCGUAACUACCCUUCUUCUUCUUCUUCCUUGAAGUUGAAGUUGAACUGCAUUCAUGGUUUUUCUUCUUGCUCGAGAAUUUCAACUUGUGUAGACUCAUACACUCAUUCUAGAGAGAGAAAAUGAGGUGUUUGUUUUUUUGAAGGAGAAACUGAGGUGUUAUGA